RNAcentral lists this ribosomal RNA (460 nucleotides) under uncultured bacterium. RNAcentral describes it as "partial 16S ribosomal RNA". It matches the Rfam family "Bacterial small subunit ribosomal RNA", at positions 338 to 795 of the family's 1533-position model. The record is from RNAcentral.
CCUACGGGUGGCAGCAGUGAGGAAUAUUGGUCAAUGGCCGGAAGGCUGAACCAGCCAUGCCGCGUGAAGGUCAGUGCCCUAUGGGCGUUAAACUUCUUUUGUGCGGGAGCAAUAAUGGUCACGUGUGGCCAGACGAGAGUACCGUACGAAUAAGCAUCGGCUAACUCCGUGCCAGCAGCCGCGGUAAUACGGGGGAUGCAAGCGUUAUCCGGAUUUAUUGGGUUUAAAGGGUGCGUAGGCUGUGGGGUAAGUCAGCGGUGAAAUGCCCCCGCUCAACGGGGUGAAGUGCCAUUGAUACUGCCUGGCUGGAAUGCGGAUGCCGUGGGAGGAAUGUGUGGUGUAGCGGUGAAAUGCAUAGAUAUCACACAGAACACCGAUUGCGAAGGCAUCUCACGAAUCCGCGAUUGACGCUGAUGCACGAAAGCGUGGGUAUCAAACAGGAUUAGAUACCCUAGUAGUC